GACGAACGCUGGCGGCGUGCCUAAUACAUGCAAGUAGAACGCUGAAGCUUGGUGCUUGCACCGAGCGGAUGAGUUGCGAACGGGUGAGUAACGCGUAGGUAACCUGCCUGGUAGCGGGGGAUAACUAUUGGAAACGAUAGCUAAUACCGCAUAAGAGUAGAUGUUGCAUGACAUUUGCUUAAAAGGUGCAAUUGCAUCACUACCAGAUGGACCCGCGUUGUAUUAGCUAGUUGGUGAGGUAACGGCUCACCAAGGCAACGAUACAUAGCCGACCUGAGAGGGUGAUCGGCCACACUGGGACUGGGACACGGCCCAGACGCCUACGGGAGGCAGCAGUAGGGAAUCUUCGGCAAUGGACGGAAGUCUGACCGAGCAACGCCGCGGGAGUGAAGAAGGUUUUCGGAUCGUAAAGCUCUGUUGUAAGAGAAGAAAGAGUGUGAGAGUGGAAAGUUCACACUGUGACGGUAUCUUACCAGAAAGGGACGGCUAACUACGUG
This 497-nucleotide ribosomal RNA is filed under the name uncultured bacterium. RNAcentral's name for it is "partial 16S ribosomal RNA". It matches the Rfam family "Bacterial small subunit ribosomal RNA", at positions 28 to 507 of the family's 1533-position model. The record is from RNAcentral.